RNAcentral lists this ribosomal RNA (460 nucleotides) under uncultured bacterium. Its description in RNAcentral is "partial 16S ribosomal RNA". It matches the Rfam family "Bacterial small subunit ribosomal RNA", at positions 338 to 795 of the family's 1533-position model. The record is from RNAcentral.
CCUACGGGAGGCUGCAGUGAGGAAUAUUGGUCAAUGGACGAGAGUCUGAACCAGCCAAGUAGCGUGAAGGAUGACUGCCCUAUGGGUUGUAAACUUCUUUUAUAUGGGAAUAAAAUGUUCCACGUGUGGGAUUUUGUAUGUACCAUAUGAAUAAGGAUCGGCUAACUCCGUGCCAGCAGCCGCGGUAAUACGGAGGAUCCGAGCGUUAUCCGGAUUUAUUGGGUUUAAAGGGAGCGUAGGUAGAUUGUUAAGUCAGUUGUGAAAGUUUGCGGCUCAACCGUAAAAUUGCAGUUGAAACUGGCAGUCUUGAGUACAGUAGAGGUGGGCGGAAUUCGUGGUGUAGCGGUGAAAUGCUUAGAUAUCACGAAGAACUCCGAUUGCGAAGGCAGUUCACUGGACUGCAACUGACACUGAGGCUCGAAAGUGUGGGUAUCAAACAGGAUUAGAUACCCUAGUAGUC